Molecule: ribosomal RNA, 637 nt
Filed under: uncultured bacterium
Lineage: Bacteria
Description: bacterial SSU rRNA
Rfam family: Bacterial small subunit ribosomal RNA
Source: RNAcentral
GCUCAACCGAGGAAGUGCUUCGAAAACUGGUAAACUUGAGUGCAGAAGAGGAAAGUGGAACUCCAUGUGUAGCGGUGGAAUGCGUAGAUAUAUGGAAGAACACCAGUGGCGAAGGCGGCUUUCUGGUCUGUAACUGACGCUGAGAUUCGAAAGCAUGGGUAGCAAACAGGAUUAGAUACCCUGGUAGUCCAUGCCGUAAACGAUGAGUGCUAAGUGUUGGAGGGUUUCCGCCCUUCAGUGCUGCAGCUAACGCAUUAAGCACUCCGCCUGGGGAGUACGAUCGCAAGAUUGAAACUCAAAGGAAUUGACGGGGGCCCGCACAAGCGGUGGAGCAUGUGGUUUAAUUCGAAGCAACGCGAAGAACCUUACCAGGUCUUGACAUACCAUGAAAAGCUUAGAGAUAAGUCUUUCCCUUCGGGGACAUGGAUACAGGUGGUGCAUGGUUGUCGUCAGCUCGUGUCGUGAGAUGUUGGGUUAAGUCCCGCAACGAGCGCAACCCUUAUUAUCAGUUGCCAGCAUCCAGUUGGGCACUCUGGUGAGACUGCCGGUGAUAAACCGGAGGAAGGUGGGGACGACGUCAAAUCAUCAUGCCCCUUAUGACCUGGGCUACACACGUGCUACAAUGGUCGGUACAACG